CACUCACACACUCUUUCACUCACUCACUCACUCACUCACUCACUGCACCAAACUACACCUCCUCUCACUCACUCAAUGCACCAACCCAGACCUCUCACUCACUCACUCACUCACUCAUUCAUUCAGCCAUUACUAGUUAUUAUGGGCAUUUAUUUAGUAUUAUGUAUGUUUAUGUAUCCUCUAUAUGUGUUCAGCCUUACACACACACACACACACACACACACACACACACACACACACACACACACACACAGACUUAGCAAUGCAAUGUUCUGUAAGUCGUGUUGAAGUGGCGAGCGAGUAAGACAGACAGGCAGACGGACGGACGUACGUACAAACAAACAGACAGACAGACAGACAGACAGACAGAGACACACACCACAAGGCACAUCGCGCUAGCACUGUGAUGCCAACUUAGUACAUAUACACUUAACAGUACGUGGCAUAUAUGUUAUUAGUAUAUACAUAUGCAUAUAUAUAUAUAAAUAAAUCAUAUAUAUA
Portunus trituberculatus (swimming crab) is the source of this 501-nucleotide long non-coding RNA. RefSeq lists it as uncharacterized. NCBI's taxonomy places the organism in Eukaryota, Metazoa, Arthropoda, Malacostraca, Decapoda, Portunidae. The record is from RefSeq and is a predicted model, not a curated record. The transcript has 2 exons.